This 205-nucleotide long non-coding RNA is filed under the name Elaeis guineensis (African oil palm). RNAcentral's name for it is "long non-coding RNA (EGUI_LNC048867)". The record is from RNAcentral. Lineage: Eukaryota; Viridiplantae; Streptophyta; Magnoliopsida; Arecales; Arecaceae.
GAGUGCUUGGUGAGUUUACUUAUUUUUGUUGGAGUCAACUCGAGACCUUGAUAGGUAGGCUCAUUUGCUGAUGAGGCGACUCAAUUAUACAGGCUAAGUCUACAUAUUUCUAUUUAUCUCAGUAUUGUGUCGACUCACUGUGAUAAGUCGAUUCGUAUACUAGGACGAGUCAACUUGAUUCUACGGACAGCAAAACUGUAUGAGA